Molecule: long non-coding RNA, 25915 nt
Organism: Mustela lutreola (European mink)
Lineage: Eukaryota; Metazoa; Chordata; Mammalia; Carnivora; Mustelidae
Exons: 6
Source: RefSeq, a predicted model, not a curated record
UCUCAAUGUGGUUUUAAUUUGAAUCUUCCUGAUGGCUAGUGAUGAUGAACAUUUUUUCAUGUGUCUGAUAGCCAUUUGUAUGUCUUCAUUGGAGAAGUGUCUGUUCAUAUCUUCUGCCCAUUUUUUGAUAUGAUUGUCUGUUUUGUGUGUGUUGAGUUUGAGGAGUUCUUUAUAGAUCCUGGAUAUCAACCUUUUGUCUGUAGUGUCAUUUGCAAAUAUCUUCUCCCAUUCUGUGGGGUGCCUCUUUGUUUUGUUGACUGUUUCCUUUGCUGUGCAGAAGCUUUUGAUUUUGAUGAAGUCCCAAAAGUUCAUUUUCGCUUUUGUUUCCUUUGCCUUUGGAGACAUAUCUUGAAAGAAGUUGCUGUGGCUGAUAUCGAAGAGAUUACUGCCUAUGUUCUCCUCUAGAAUUCUGAUGGAUUCCUGUCUCACAUUGAGGUCUUUUAUCCAAUUUGAGUUUAUCUUUGUGUACGGUGUAAGAGAAUGGUCGAGUUUCAUUCUUCUACAUAUAGCUGCCCAGUUUUCCCAGCACCAUUUACUGAAGAGACUGUCUUUUUUCCACUGUAUAUUUUUUCCUGUUUUGUCAAAGAUUAUUUGACCAUAGAGUUGAGGGUCCAUAUGUGGGCUCUCUACUCUGUUCCACUGGUUUAUGCGUCUAUUUUUAUGCCAGUACCAUGCUGUCUUGGUGAUCACAACUUUGUAGUAAAGCUUAAAAUCAGGUAACGUGAUGCCCCCGUUUUAUUUUUGUUUUUCAACAUUUCCUUAGUGAUUCGGGGUCUCUUCUGAUUCCAUACAAAUUUUUGGAUUAUUUGCUCCAGCCCUUUGAAGAAUACUGGUGGAAUUUUGAUUGGAAUAGCAUUAAAAGUAUAGAUUGCUCUAGGCAGUAUAGACAUAGACCAAUAUCUAGUAACAAGAUUGAAGCAGUGAUCAAAAACCUCCCAAAAAACAAGAGCCCAGGACCUGAUGGAUUCCCUCGGGGAAUUCUACCAAACUUUCAAAGAAGAAAUAACACCUAUUCUCCUGAAGCUGUAUCAAAAUAUUGAAGCAGAAGGAAAACUUCCAGACUCUUUCUAUGAAGCCAGCAUUACCUUGAUCCCCAAACCAGGCAAAGACCCUACCAAAAAGAAGAAUUUCAGACCAAUAUCACUGAUGAAUAUGGAUGCUAAGAUUCUCAACAAGAUCCUAGCAAACAAGGGGGCGCCUGGGUGGCUCAGUGAGUUAAAGAUCCUAGCAAAUAGGAUCCAACAGCACAUUAAAAAGAUUAUCCACCUUGACCAGGUGGGAUUCAUCCCUGGGCUACAAGGAUGGUUCAACAUUCGCAAAUCAACCAAUGUGAUAGAAUAAAUUAAUAGGAGAAGAGAGAAGAACCACAUGGUCCUCUCAAUUGAUGCAGAAAAAAGCAUUUGACAAAAUCCAGCAUCGGUUCCUGAUUAAAACACUUCAAAAUAUAGGGACAGAGGGAACAUUCCUGAACUUCAUAAAAUCUAUCAAUGAAAGACCCACAGCAAAUAUCAUCCUCAAUGGGAAAAAGCUUGCAGCCUUUCCAUUGAGAUCAGGAACACAAGGAUGCCCACUCUCACCACUCUUGUUCAACACAGUAUUAGAAGUCCUAGCAAUAGCAAUCAGACAACAAAGAGAAAUAAAAGGUAUCGAAAUUAGCCAUGAAGAAGUCAAACUCUCUCUCUUUGCAGAUGACAUGAUUCUUUAUAUGGAAAACCCAAAAGACUCCACCCCAAACUACUAGAACUCAUACAACAAUUCAGCAACAUGGCAGGAUACAAAGUCAAUGUACAGAAAUCAGUGGCUUUCUUAUACACUAAUAAUGAAAAUACAGAAAGUGAAAUUAGAGAAUCGAUUCCAUUUACUUUAGCACCAAGAACCAUAAGAUACCUGGGAAUAAACCUAACCAAAGAGGUAAAGGAUCUGUCCUCAAGGAACUGCAGAACACUCAUGCAAGAAAUUGAAGAAGACACAAAAAGAUGGAAGACCAUUCCAUGCUCUUGGAUCAGAAGAAUAAACAUUGUUAAAAUGUCUAUACUGCCUAGAGCACAAAUGUUUCUAAAGAACAUAAACUGAAUUCAAGAAUUGAAAUUCUCUAGUUUAUCCUGAAGAGUGGGAUGGAAUGUAAUUCACCUUAUGUAAUGUAUUUCACCUUAACUCACCCUCAUCCUGAAUCCUGACAGGUUAGCCUUUUGGGGAUGAGUGCUUAUUGUGAGGAAGGAUUUCUUUUCUUAGUUGUUAGUUUUCUGUCUUCUAUCAAAAUUCAGGUUCACAUCAGCAAAUGACCUCAGUGUGUGAGUGGUUUCUGAGAGCACUUACCAUUUGGGGUUAUUGUUUUCCAUUGACUCUUGAUUUUGUGUGUUGAUUUUUUUCUUCUUUUCAUUUUUAUGUUUUUAACAAGAUGAUUUUGUUAUUUUAUCAAAGUUUUUAGUGUUUUUCUGAAAAACUAGUCUGAACUACCUAACAAACCAUUAAUAUAAAUAAAAAUUCUAGGGGUGCCUAGGUGGCUCAGUUCAUUAAGCAUCUGCUGACAGCUCAGGUCAUGAACUGAGCCCAGGUAUCAAGCUCCAAAUUGGGCUCCCUGCCCACUAGGGAGUUUACUUCCCCCCUCUCUCUGCCCCUCCUCACCCCUUCUUAUGCUUGCAUUCUCUCUCUCUAAAAUAAAAUAAAAUAAAAUAAUAGAAAUUCCAUUUGAACAUAGUUCUUCAUAAUGUGUUGUAUCUCUGAGAGCGUCCUGAAUACCAUGCUGAUUUCUUUAGACACUCUUUCUCCCUUCCUCAUUAGGUCUAUUAUUGGUUUUAUAGGCAUAUCAAUUAUUUUUCCAUAUAUUUUCAAUAUACUAUUCUGGUCUUUAAUUUCUUUGAUAGUUGAGUUAAAAUAUAUGUAUACAAUAAAAUAUGUAUGUUUGACAUCAUUAUACAGACAUAUGCACACACACACACACAUAUGACAUCACAUCUUUCUAUUGUUGACUCUCCAACUUUCUGUAACAUACAUAUGACAGUACUUCUCUUCUCAGAAAUUAACAUUUCUGAUUCACUUUGUUACUGCCCCACUUCACAUGUCAUAUAGUCUUUGUAGGAUAUAAUAAUUAUUUCUGACUUUCCUCCCAGAUACUUUUCCAUGAAAUAUACCCUGUUCUUCUUCAGUUUACUUUAUUGGGCAUACUAGGGUCCUCCAGAGAAGGUUGUGGAGCUAUAUCUGGGCACUAUUCUUCCUUUUAUUUUUCAGUUCAAAAAUUUUUUUAUUUUACUGAUAGGUUUUCUGCCCAGUAGAAUCCUCUCAGCCUGUAGGUUGAGCAGGCAGGUCCUCAGCAGACUCAAUGUACUGUUGUAACUAAGAUUCAGAAAACCAAAUUCAUUUUUCACUCAAAUCCUCUUAUUUUAUUUUCUUUCCCUGACAAAGCUACUACUGUCAUUUGGAAGAAGAAAUGAAAACCAUCUGUGCUUCCAUGACCCUCAGCUUCUUACCUAAAACCCUCUGACAGGGAUCAUUUUUUAUGACAUUACUAUUCAUUCUUAUAGGAGGAAGAAGAGUAUGUCUGAUGUAUUUAAUGAGCCUUGGCAAGCGUUUGUUCAAGGCUUAGACAUAUGUUCUAAGAAGCCAAUUAUCUUAGUCAGGGCACAUUGUGAUAUUUGGACAGGAAUCCACUGAAAUUAUUUCAAGGAAAAGAGCAAUUAAUUGUAAGAAUACAUGGCAAUAUUAUAGAAUCCAAUUGUUGGAAAUAAAGUCAGGUCUCUUGAGAGAUAGAAAGCAAUCAGGCAGCUAUUUUUUCCAUUUUUCUCUUCCUCUCUCCCUGUCCCUCCCUCCCAGCCUCUCUCUCUCUGUCUCUCUUAUCAUGGUUCCUUGUCUCAUUCCCUCAAUGUAUCUGUUUUGUUCUCCUGGUUCUCCUUCUUAUCUAUCACUGUAUAUCUGGCAAAUAUAUCCACCAACUCAGAAUCUUUGGGGACUUUAUCUCCAAAGUCCAUCACCGUGUAAUUAAUAAUGUUUAUGUUUCUUAGUUAGGAUUCCUGAGACAGAAUUUGAUUAGUUCAGGUUAGGUUAUUUAUCUGCUCAUGGUCCAAUGUACUGUGACAAGGACAGUGAGAUCAUGUGGUCUAAACAUAGCUGCCAAAGCAUGGAUGGGAGACAGAUUCUCUUAGAGGUUUGGUGUGAAUGGAGAUGUGAUGAUUGGCUUAUCAGUUCAUCAACAUACUGUUUUAGAAUGGAGAUUUAUCCACUUCUUAAAUGCACAAAGUAUCUUCUCUGAUUCAAUUAUUUCAGUAUAUGCCAAGUACAAGGAUAGACAUAUUUUGUCUUGUUACUGAGUUUUAGAUUGGUGAGGUUCUUGGUUGUCAUUGCUGAUUAAAUGCUUAAUAGAUGUCAUAUAAAUCAGGUCAAGAGUUAUCUUUUUUAAAAGUAUGCUUUACUAGUCACUAGGUUCCAAACUUUGGCUUUGCUUCCUUUCUAGACUUUCAGAAUUUUUUCUUUCUAGUCUUCCACUGAACUGGAGGAGGGCUGCUUUCCCCCCAAUACCUGUCAGUCCUAAAAUAUAUAACAUCUGUGAAAGUUUUGAAUCAGUAAAAAAUAAUGCCCACUUUGCAGGUUUCCCUCUCUCACAAGAUGAACUACAGACCUUGGUGGUUCUCCCUGGAAGUAGGCAUGUUCCCAUGUCUAAUAGUGGCCCUGUUGUUCUAGUAAGGACUUCUCUGCUAACUAAGGAAUCUGUGCAUAUCUGCAUAUACUUUUUAACCUUUUGGAUGACCUCUUCUGUAACUUGCUUGUGCAUAUCCUAUGCCAAUAUUUUUCUUGUUAAUUUGCUGAAGUUCUUUUUAUGUUCUAGGUAUUAACUCAGUUUUAUAUUCCAUGCUAUCAUUUGUCAGUUAGAGAUAUCUAUUUAACAAGGGGACACUAUUCCUUGUUGACCAGGUAUAUUGCUUUUGAUGUAAACAAACUCACUGUUUUGUUUUAUUUUUAUUUUUUUUGACUUUUAGUUUAUGGUAUUUCUUUAAGAAGUCUUUCCCUGCCCUUAAACCAUUUGCUUACAUAUUCUUUUCAUUCAUGCAUAUAUUUAUCUUUCAUAGUUAGAUAUUUAAUAAUAUCCCUGGACUCUAUCUUUUUAUGUAGGAUUAAUAAGAGAUCCAGUUUUAUUGUUUUCAUGGUGUAUGCCAGUUUUUCUAACACCAUCUAUUAAACAAAUCAUUGUUUUCCCCUGAUUUGUGGUACCAUCUUUAUUAUAUAUUUUGGAAAAUCUUGUAUAUUUGGAAAAUAUUUUAUGGUAGAAAUGAACAAUCCCUCAACAAAUUUGAUGUAACUUACCUAUAAAACUAUCUAAGACUGUGGUUUUUGACUAGUUUACUCAAGUAUUCUGUUUUUGCUGCCCAAUUUGUCCAUUUUUAUCUAUUUUUUCUGGAAAUUUAGUUGUUUCUUUUAAGUUUUUCAAAUUUAUUAGUGUAUGUUGGACUUUGAACAUAUACAUAUAGACAUUAUGAUGCUCUUACUCUUUUUAUAAUCUCUGUGGUAUCUUAAUUCAUCAUUUUAUUAUUUUUUUUUAAACUAAGCGUACUCUCUCUUUUUUCCUUGAUCAGUCUUGUUAGAGGCCUUUUUAAAAAAAAUUUUUUUUCAAAUAACCAAGUAUUUGGUUUUGUUGCUCUUUUUUUUUUUUUCAUUAUUGACUUCUGCUCUGAAACUUAUAUCCCUCUGUAAUAGGCGUUUGAUUGUUAGAACAUUCAGUUCUUCCAGAGAAGACGAGGAAAGUAAAUGAGAGGUAUGAAUAAUAAGUAGAUUAGCAAUCUGUGAGAUACACUAGAAUAAUUUGCAUAGAGCAUUUGUGUGUUUAACAUAGACUAUAAGAUAUGGAGGAACCACAAGACACAAAGUAUAUAUGCUAUACCAAAUAUACCAAGGCAUACAAACCCCGAUAUUAAUGGUAACCUACGUAUGCAUGAGGCUUCUAAGACAUUCAAUAAUCAUGAGAUUAAAUAUACUGCCCACGUGACAUCUAUUCUAGUUCCUGUGUCUUCUGCCCAAGAAAUACAGAUAAAACCCAUAGCUGUUAAUUAUGGUCAUUGGCAAGCUGCGACUGUAGCCAUGAGUCCUUCAUCUCCCUGGUAGAGCAAGCACAGUGUGUUGACUCUAGGCAUCCUCUUCUGUGCCCCUUUGCUCAAACCUCAACUCUAUGCUUUCGGCAGGGAAUAUGUGGCCUAGAGAGGAAACAUGAUAGUAUGGUUAGUGUAUCCUGCUAUACUCUACCAUAAGAUCUUCUUCUAUAAGCUUCUCACUGUUUUCAGUUGAUUAAAUAAACUGCAUGAAUUGAGCAUCUUAACUUGGUCUGUUAAGUCUUUGCAGGCCAUGACUUCUGAGUUAGCCUGCCUGACAGUGUACUUGGAGAAUACCAUCACCUCAGGGGAAUUUCUCAUGUAACUUUUUCCUUCUUAUGUUUUUCUGCUUUCAUUCUGUUGCUCACCAUCUUAUUUCCUCUCGGAUAAAUAUAUCUAAAGUGUCCUCCCACUACCUGAUGAGAUCCACAGCACUGGUUUGAACUAUGAGUUUGCACAUAGGCCAGAAACAUACAUGGAACCUUAAGCUCACCUUCCUUAUUUGUAUCAAAUGAUGACCAGUAUACUGAUCUCCCAUCCCUUUGCUUAUGGCAAGAGAUGGCUUCACUUAGAUUGGAAAAAAAAAAAAGUUUAAGUGUCCUUCAAGGAACUGCUUUAGUAUGCCCUGUAAAUUUAGAGAUGAGGUGCUAAAUAGCAUUAAUGGUUAAAAACUAGUAUGACAGUAAUGUAAGACAGUCACCAUCCUAUAAUUUUAAAUAUUCUUUUAAAAAUAAGUGUUAUAUUAAAAUAUUUAUUUUCAACAUAAGGCUGCUGAACCUAUGAUUUUGAUAUUUAUUUCUAAUCCUAUUGCUUUAUGGUCAGAGAUCUUCUGAAUGGUAUUAGUCAUUUGGAAUUAAUAGAGGUUUUCUUUAUGAUCUUAAAAAUGGCAUUUUUGUACAUUCUGUGUAUAUGCAAAAGGAAUGUGUAUUUCCUGUUUGUUGAACAUAGCUAAUGUAUUUUCAAUAGCUUGAGUUUGGUAAUUAUAUUUUCCAGAUGUUUUUGUAACACUUCUAACAUUUUAUUUGCUUCAUCUGUCAGAUUCUGAGGCAGGUAUGUUAAAAUCAUCAACUACAAUUGGGGCACCUGGGUGGUUCAGUCAGUUAAGCUUUGGAUUCUUGAUUUUAGUUUGGGUCAUGAUCUCAGGAUCACAGUCUCAGAGUCAUGAGAUCAAGCCCCAUGGGGAUCCCUGUGCUCAUUUGAGAAUCUGCUUGAGAUUCUCCUUCCUUUUCCCUCUGCCCCUUUCCCCCCAAAUAAAUAAACAAAACUUAAAAAAAAAAAAACCAACAUUAUAGUUGAUAAAUUACGUAUUUUUUCCUGGAGUUCUUUCAGUAUUUAUGUGUUUUAAAGCUGUAUUUUAGAAUGUGUAUAAAUUUAUGAUGGUUAUAAUCUUGUUCAAUUAUUUCUUUUACUGGCACAUGAUUUCCCUUAUGAUUUUUUUGUCUUAAACUCUAUUUAGUCAGACAUUAAGAAACAACCCCAUAUUUCUUUGGGUUCACAUUUCCCUAACAAAACUUUUCCCACCGAUUUUCAACCUUUUAUUUUCUUUUUGUCUUAUGGUCUUAUGUGUAUCUCUUGUUGCCUGUAUGUUGUGGGGCUUUAUUUUUUUUUAAUUUGAGAUUCUCUGUUUUAAUUGGUGACCACAACUGCUGUAUUAUAAUUAAUGAUAUAUUAAGACUGUUUCAUACAUGUUAAGACCCAUAUUCAUGUUUAUUUACCCAUAUUGCUUUCUUUCUUCUUCUUCUUUUUUAUUUUUUAAAGAUUUUAUUUAUUUGACAGACAGAGAUCACAAGUAGGCAGAGGGCAGAGAGAGAGGGGGAGACAGGCUCCCCGCCGAGCAGAGAGCCUGAUGCGGGGCUUGAUCCCAGGACUCUGAGAUUUUAGCGCUGUUUGUCAUAAGACUUUCACUUACUGAUUUUCAAGAAGGGAGGCCUGCACAGAGAGGACAAUAAAGACCACGAACAUGAACUCACCCAUGGAACUCAGCGUCAGGUGAUAAAGAGAGGCAGAGUGGAGAAGGAAAAGGUUCGAGGAACUGUAGCACCAGCUCCACCUCCAGAAAUUGACCCUGGAGAAACUACAGAAAUGGAGGGCACACAUGCCGAAGGCAGAGGCUUUAACCCACUGACCCAGGGUUCUUAUGCUGCUGUGAGAGUAUUCUGUGGACCCUGGGACCAGCAGUGAGGCCUGUGGCUGUAGGGGAGGUCCCAAGCCCUGAGAAGUUUCUCCAGGGUCAAUUUCUGGAGGUGGAGCCAGCAGCCCUAACUACUUUGCCCCAUUGGCUGGUGCUACAGUUCCUCGAACCUUUUCCUUCUCCACUCUGCCUCUCUUCAUCACCUGACGCUGAGUUCCAUGGAUCACCUCUGAAAGGCAGUGGCAUCGACAUAGAUGAGAUCUGGGAUUUGAAGGGUUUCAAUGGAUCUCCCCGUUUGGCACAAAAUCAAAUGAUGGAAAUGAAGGCUCAGUGAUCACGAUGCUGCGCUAGCUUCACAUUCAAGCGGAUGACUCUUGCUCAAUGAUUUCCAAAGCAAUGACCUCGGCACCCCCUUCGCCCAGGUUGUCGGCGGCUUCGUUCCUCGGCUCCUGGUGGCAGAUGUAAACCGGGAUGUCCCCGGCUUCGGCCGCGGCGGCGGCAGCGGCGGCGGCGGCGGCGGCGGCGGCAUUGGCCGCGGAGCGGCGGGGGUUCCUUCGCCCCCAGCGCUGAUCCCACUGGGUUUUAAACUGCGCCCAUUGGCGCUUCACGGUGGUUUGGACCUGAAAGAGAAAAGGGAACCUUGUUUUGGUAUAAUUGUCGGAAACGACCCAAGCCAAGCUUAUGGCCACAGUUCGUGGAGCUUAUCAGAGGCCAAAGGAGGCUGAGUUGUAAUUCUGAUCCGAAGGACCCUGCAGUACACACGCUCUGGUUGGGGAAUAUAUACCAUCGUGGGAGAAGAAUCUUUAAGUCAGAGAAACGAGUUGCUUGCCUAAGCUACCACGGGCAAGGUUGUUUGCUCUUUUUGAGCAAAAGUCUCUUCUUUAGCUCUCCUGUCCAAUGAAUGAAAAUUGCCUUGGUUUUAUUAUACCCAUUAUGGUAUAGGUGUCCUAUCAGAGGAAAAGAUUUUUGAAAAGUUUUUAUCUGCUACCACCUCUGAUAAUGCAGAAAUUUUUAUCUAAACCUAAACACAUUACUGUUUACAUAUACAUAUACAUAUACAUAUACAUAUACAUAUACAUAUACAUAUGCAUGUACCACAGCACAGCCCGGGGUUUCAUUAUAAGGGCUUCAUACUGUGGAUUUUCCUUUCUCCAGCAUGGCUUGAGAUGGGACACCCCGGAUAAAACUCUGGUUAAUGGAGUACGAAGCUUUUAAGAAUAAAAUUUCAAUCUCUUCCUACAAAAAAACUUCUAAUAUGUAAACAAACUUACCAAACUUGCUUUACAAAUAUGAUAAACUGUAUAGUAGAGAAGGAAAAGAUGCUAAAGUCAGGAAGUUCUAAAUACAAAAAAAUAACCACCGCGGAAAAGUAGUAACACUGCUUGUCUAGCUCUGCUUUCUUCAGAACUGAGUUCAGUUUAGUCUUUAAGUUCAUCUUCCCUGUCAUCUCCUAACUUCUGGCUUUUCUCUAUAGCUGAGCAAGACUAAAAUAGAGAUUAUUGCUGCAGUAUCUAUUUUACAUUUCUGAUUUUCUAUGGCUCAGUACAGGAGAUAUGCUUUUAUACAAAAUAUUUGCAUCGAUUUAUUAAUAUAUCUUUCGUUAUCUUGCUACCGAACUUGAAUGUAAGACCUAACCAUUCUGGGGCACAGGAGGGGGAAUCCGGCAACAGUAUGACCUGAGAUAAAGCAUGUAAUGAGUUAAUUGUGAAGAGCCAAAUUUGUCUGAAUCUAAAAGAAGAUAUAAAUGAUAGUACAACAUACUAAUGUUAUAAACCGAUAUGCAUAAUAGAAGGCUGAAUAAUUUCUGUGGCAAAUACAUUUUCUGUGUAUCAUAGCAGAACAGUCUUUCCAAAUAAUUAUUAGUAUUUGUCAUAUCCUUUUAAAUAUUUUACUCAGAAAAAGGCAAAACAGUCAAAUGAUUCAUCACAGACAAGAGGGUAUGAAACUUGUCACUGAGGAGAGGUUCUUCUUCAUAUCGCAGAGCAGCCAUCAAGUUCAAGAUGACAAAUGGUAGACGAAUUUGGUAAUCCAAUCAUUCGGAAUUAUUGUGGCAACAAACUGUUUUUGUGUUUUUUGGAGGUGAUGAGUGUGUGAGUGUACUCUCUAAUGUGCAUCUAUCUAAUUUUAUUUAAAAGAGACAAACACCAAAACUUUAAGUGCCAUGGUCAAGCUGUGCACCUUGUAUCCGAACCUUGUGUUGACAAAAGACGUGCUGAGGGUCAUGGACAGCAUGAAAAGUUGGAGCUGUCGCUGUUAUUUUCUGAGGGUUUACCACAUGCCAUUUUCCAGGCUCUUGUUUAGUAUGAACUUAUUUAAUCCUGCUGAUUUAAUGGCUACUGUUCCCUUCACUUUACAUAUGGGGGCUGAGGUUAUGUAACGUGUCCAGGGUCAGAACCGCUGGAAUGUGGUGGAACCACCAUACCAGGGGAAGCUCGUGGCUCCUGACCAUGUGCUUGGCCACAAUACACACUGUAGAUAGCUGACCAUCAAGUUGUGAACUGAACUGAAAAUAGAAUUUGUUUCCUGUGGUCAUUGCUUAGGCAGGAUGAGAGCACUAAGUGUUGACACACCGACCCCAAAGACUGUGCUCUUUGGGUUUGGGUCCCAGCUUAUUGCCUGCAUAGGCUUUUUUGUCUUUUGGUUUUUUGUUUUUUUCUUUCUUAGAUUUUUCUCCUUUGUAAAAAGGAGAUCAGGACAUGAAUUCAGUUAUGAGUAAGAUUUACUGAGGUUAUUUGAAUCACCUCAUACGAUGUUGGUGCGUAGCAGCAGUAAUUUCCUACUUUUUCUCCCAUUCUCACCCCUUGCUAACCCCACCUCCCACCACCUCCAAGGUUCUGCCAGUCAAUGUGGCUGGAUUUGAGAGUCAGGUAUCUCCCUUUUGAUAGUCUGACACCUUCAGGCUCCUCUCCAGCCUAGUUCUUUAUUAGGGCUAUUUACUGGUUGAAAAUUAAUUCAUAUAAGUGUUUUGCUUCCUUUGCUUUCCUAAGCACAUUAGUGCAAGAGGUACAGAUGGAAGGUGUAACACAGCUGGAAGGGACAAGAUGGAUUGGAGGAAUAGAAGAGGCAGAGAUGAGGAAGAAUGAAACAGUAAAGAAGAAAAGCAAUUAGGACAGUUUAUCUGCAUUUAGUGCCGAAUAACUGAGCAUUGACUAGUUUGUUCCCCCUCUGUGACAUUUCUGUCUAGAGGUCAAGACACAAAGAGAAGAUAAAGUCUGAAGGAUUGGGUCCAUUUACUCUCUCUAAUUGAAACAAUGUGCUCUUGCUCACACCGGCUUCCUGCACUCGGCUGCUGCCAUUCAAAACAGCAGUAGGGGGACAUACUCCGAAUGGGCUGAACUGGACUGGGGUUACUCUCUUCAGAAGGAAUUCAGUCCAUACCCAGAGUGACCUGAAAUCUUGGUUUGAUGGUUUUGUCCUUUAGCUAUUUACCCCAAAUGCCUCUAUUUCAGUCACCCGGCCAGCACAGAUAGAAGGGAUUCAGGUUCUGUAAGAGCACUUAGAUACCAGGCACAGAGCUGCUAUCAGGGGCAGGAGUGGAAAAUUCCUGUCAUUCUACUGCUUUUGUCUGAGUUGGCUCAUCUCUCUGCCAGAGUGGUUUUAAGCCACUUAUGGCCUUGACCUGAAUUCUCCAAAAUUAACAAACUGCUUGUCUCUCUCCACCAGCUAUAUCGUUUCUUCCCAUCAGGUCUCUCUGCUCAUGCUGCUCCCUCUGACCGGAAUGGCCCUCUCCCACCCUCACUGGUGCCCAAACUUGUUUUUCAGGACUCAACUCUGUUUCUCUAGGAAACUUUUCUUGAUCCUUUGAUACAGACAGAGUCAGGAGUCUCUCUUCCGUGCUCUUGUUGCAGUAAUCUAUACUCAUUAUUGCUCUUACUGCGCUAUAACAUUGUGACUUGCUGUGUCUCUCUCUCCUCCUGUACAAGAAAAUUCUGAAAAGCAGGAACCAUGUCUUGUCCAUUUUUGUAUUCCCAGAACAUGUCAUGCUGUUGGGCAUACAGCAGUUCUUCAACAAAUACUUGUGGACUAUCAACAUCCAUUCUAGAAUGAGUUCAUAACUCUUUCAGCCAAGAAAAUGAUCACCAAUGACCAUAAUUAGUGCACUGAUAUCCGGUGGUACCAGGGUGGGGAGCUGAAAGCAUCUAGGACAAACCUUAUGGAAAAAUUGAAAUGUUCUUUCAUGGGUUUUGAUAUGAGACCUAGAAUCAUUGCUUUUUGAGAACUUGAAUUCCUUCCAGAGGUAAACCGUAAGCUACUGGGUGUUGGAUCACCUACAACUGUUGCUAGGUCUUCUCUCAUGCCAUGGUGUGUGUUUUGGGGAACUGCUCUUGAGCUCCAGUGAGUUGCUACUUUUGGAAAUGAGCAGAAGCAGGCACUUGUCGGCAACCUGGCAACCAGCUGGGCAGGGAAGGAAGAGUGUCAUUGGGUCACAUCACACCACCUUUCUGUUCUUUUUCCACCUAUAGCAUCAUUUCACUGGGUCUCAUUCGAUGCCAUGAAAGAAAGGACUGAACUUUGGGUCAAGAAACUCACUCUGCCCACAUUAGCCUUAUAAUCUUGGGUAGGAUAGUUAACCUCUUUGAGACUCCUUUCUUCAAUACAAUUCUUCUACCUCACCUUGCUGUUGGAAGGAUUAAAUUGUGACAGUAUAUAUCAAAGUGGCAUCUAAGCUUUAAAGUACUACACAGGGAGGCUACUGUUAUUAUUGCUAUUACUGUGCUGUUAUUAUGGCAGGAUGGUGACCUCAAGUCUUCAGACUAAAAUGAAACUCUUCUGUCAUAUUCUUUUUUGGAGGGUGGUAGUGCUAAGAAAAUACAAAGACCUCUCAAUGACACACAUAGUUGCUGAUCUCAUACAUUCUACACUAGGUCUCUACAGAGUGCUCCAUGGCCCAGGCUUGCUACUUCCUGGAUUUCUUUUGGAUUUCUAUACCAUUUAUUUUUCUGUUGGGACUAGCCAAAAGAUGGCAUGGUUUUAUUUGGGUCAUACUAUCUAUUAAAUGUAGGUCCUUAAUGCUUUAAAUGCCAGGUUUGUAAUCUAGGAACCAUCAAAUGCCCUGUUGAGGAAUUAGGAAAUAUACUGCUUCAGCAUAUUUUUGGAGAAGCGAUGUCCCCAGACAAAGGGAAUUGACAGUUUCCGUGGAUUCAGCAUCUCUCAAAUACCAACACUGUCUUUAUAGAUAAAAAUCACACGGUUAUUUAGAGGUAUCCAAAGCAGACAGUUUAAGUUUAGAGUGAGUUUGUAAAAGUGCCCAGAGGACGAAAAAAAAAAAAAAAAAAGGCUUUGUUUCUCCUCACAUUUUAAGAAAAUAAUCCCCAUUGGCAUAUCCAUGCGUAUUAAUGAAGUACCCUGCCCAGCAUGAGGCCAAAGGGUUUGAGGCCUAUUUUAUGUUUUUAAUAUUAUUAUUAUUACAGAAAUGUUCAUAGCCUUCUAUAAUUGCAUUCCCGAAUUAUAAUCUAUUCUUUUGUGUGGAGAUGGCAAUCUGCUUCAAUUUGUAAACCACACAUAUAAGAAUAGGCCCUUAGCAGGAUGUAAAAGACACUUGAAUAAUUAUAGUUUAAUAGGGCAAUUAUCUCCUACAAUACCACAGGUUGAGCUUGAUGCUGCUUUGAUCACUAAAAUAAGGGCAUUGAAUCUGUUUGGGGGAAAAAAAAAACCAGGGAGACUUUUCAUUGCUCUUGAAAAGCAUCAGAAAUGUUAGGAGUUACCAAUGUGAUAAAUAUAACAUACAAAGUUUUGAAUUAUAUAGAUUCAUCACUCCUUAUAAAAGCAAUUAACACAGAUCACUUUACAUUUUCCCUAAUUAUAUCAAUUUCUUUAUUAACCACUUUAAAAAAUAGAGCCCUGAUCUGAUGGUUUGAAGUCAUAAGUAUUACACCUGGCUCUAGUAUUAACCAUCUAUAUGAGGUUGGUAUAUUUGGGCCUCAGUUUCUACAUCUGUGAAAAAGAAAAUCAGGUCAGAAUCUUCACAGUUGGACUUGAAUGCUUUCAUCUUUGGCCUUAGUUUUCCUCAAGUUCAGCAUAAGCACCAGAAGUUAUAUACUGUUGAGUGGAAGGUGGCGUUUAUUCCUAGGAGUUUUGAUCCAUUGGAUAGAAAGAUUUUUCAAACCUGCUCCCUCAUACCUUCACUUGCUGAUUCCACAACUCAACAGGCCUGCUGCAAUCGAAAUUUAAGAUUAAAAAUCAUGAACUUUAAAAACAUUUUAGAUCCACUUGGAGGUAUGCUUUAAAUGCUUUUAUAUGACUUUCUGAGGCGGAACCCCUAUUAAAUCCUGUUAAUUAGAUACUGAGGGAUGCUUCUGAAUAUUAUUCAUAAAGUUGUCACUGAUACUUUUUUCACCUUUUGGAGCAUUAUCUUUACUGGUCUUUUUCUUACAGAAUGUACAUGCCCUACAGUUUGAGAUAAAUUGGGUACUUCAUGAUCAUAAGACCAGGCUUUCUAAUUCCCAUUCACUAUGUACUCUUCUAGUCUGUAGAAGCUUUCUUGUUCUAGAAGACACCAACAAAUAAAUAUCAUCUAUGAUAAGGUUAAUAUUUUUGAAAAUAUUUAACUAUUAUAUUUCCUAAAUAACAUUACCCUGCAACUCCCUAGUUCAUUAAGUCAUGGCCAUUCAUUGCUUGAAGAACAAAUUAGAUUUUGCCUAGAGUGGGUUCUCAAAGUGUGUUCUCUGAUCAGCAGCAUCAGCUUCACCUGGAAACUUGUCAGAAAUGCAAAUUCCUCAGGCCUCAUCCCUGUCCUCCUGAAUAGGAAACUCUUCUGAGGGGUCAAGCACUCUAUGUUUUAACAAACUUUCCCUGGCAAUUCUGAUGCACACGAAAGUUUGAGAAUACUGCUCUAGAACAAAGAAAUCACUGUUUAGCUUUGAGUCUCAAAGCUGACUUUCUUGAGUCUCUAGAAGGACAACAGCUUUGAAAACCAGGUUUUAUUGAGUGAGAAAAAGAAUUUCUAAAUAGAAAAGCUUAUCUUUGCAUUAUGAAGUGAAAACCAUGCUACCCUGGAAAAAGAAUUUUACUAAAAGCCAUAGUAUAGAGGACACACAAGAUACAGUGUAGGGAGAGUCCCCUGAGGAUAGGAAGGAGCCGUGGUUAGUACAAAGCCCUUCCAGUCCUGAGAGGGAGAGAGAUAUACAGAGACACAAAUGACCUUGCAUUUCCCCUUCAUGGUGGGAAUACCUGGGGAAAUGGGGAGAAGACACUCAACAGUAUAUAACUUCUGGUGCUUAUGCUUAUACCCCAGUAUAGCAAGUCUUUCUCUUUGAUUCUGAGAGCACAGUCUAGAAAUUGAUAGCCAUGUAAAGAAGUCCCACACUUGGCUUGGUACCAUGUCCAAGCUGGUGCCUGAGCGGUGGAGCGGGAAUGGCUAUGACAUGUGCUAAAGACAGACUCGUAGGCUCUUCACAGUGUGAAGAAAGGAGGCUGACCCUCUGGGGUCCUUGAGUGGGUGGAAGAGAGAACUGGUGAGGCAGAACAAGGCUGGGGCCUGGUCAAGGAAGCGACACACUAGAAGGAUCUCUAGGCUCCUCGGGAGUGAGGGAGCCACCCUGAGUGUCAGCAGGGCCUACCAACUGUACCUUUGGAUGAAGGCUUUGGAACCAAAUAUUUUCUAGAAAGAGACUGCCAUCUCUUAGAAGCUGGUGGGAUGGGCUAUCUAAAGCAAGACAAGUUACAACAACAACAAAAAAGCAGUGGUAGUUUCCAUCCACUCCAAUCUGUUACUGUUAAAUUGAGAUCUUUCUGAUCAUGCUACUUUGAUCGACAAACGAUUUUACCCACAGUGCAUGGACAAUAGCAAGACCCAUGGAAAGGGAGAACAACCACUGUCUUGUUGGUGCUCUCUCUAUUUUUAAGAUGUAACUCAGAACCGCUGGGCAUCUUUGUAGCUGUCAUCAUCUCUUUGAGGUCCCUUACAUACUUAAUAAUACAUGGUCAACAUCCAUACUCUUAGAAGACUUGUAGGAAAUACGUGAUCCAUAAGCAUGCCCUCGUGGGUGCUUCCUGAUUCCUACUCCUGUCAUUCUCCAAAUUCCUUCCCUGCUUCUAGUCUAUCUGUCGGUAUUUGACCAAUUUCCAUAAUGGGAAUCACUGACAACAUGCAGGUAAGAAAUGAAAAUGAAAACCUCCUUCUGCACUGUCGAGCUGCCAUCUCAGCCCCCUAGAUCUCUGCUAAAACUCAACGUGCUCCCAGCAAAGCCCACACACUUCUCUGGCAGUGGCAGUGGCAGCUUCGAGACCCACCCGCAGGGCUGCAUGCCCUGCCGGGUUGAUGGGGGUAUAGACAGCACCUUCACAGAAGGCCCAGUGGAGAGCUGCAAAUCUAAAAUUCAUGGGGCUGUGAUGUUACAUUUGGCACAGUACAAAAUUUCUAUCUUAUUAGAAAUGUCACUCUGGUAGCUUCCCCAGUAAAAGAAUCCUAAUUAAAAUGGAGAUGGUUUCUUGGCUUUGAAAAGCAGAGAUAACAUACUCAAAUGAAAUAGAAAUGAUCAAUUGUUAGGAGGACUUCUUGUCUUGCUCUCUAUGCCUGAUGCUUCAAAGACAGCGUCAUGGUUAAAACAGAGGAAGGGGGGUGAAGUAUUUUUGCAAAUGCCUACAAUCCUCUCAUGUUUUCAAGGUAUGCCCCUUCUGAACCUGAUUUUUAUGUUAGCCCUAUAGAGAUAUUGCUUUAGGUGGAAAAUUUAUUUGUAUGGCACCUGAAAUAACUUAUAAGACAGAUUAUGCAUUCAUAGAAAUUGAUAUAAAGAGAGGAUGUCCUAAACCAUAUUUAUUUAUUUAUUUGGUUUUUGCUAUUCUUAAAACAAACAAAAUAACCAAAGAGACACUAACAGCUGACAGCAGAAGGGUGACUUUUCAUUUCUACCCCAGGCCUUCAGUCUAGCCCCUAGUGAUAGUGAAUGGAUGAUCUAUUUCUGCUGAAUGAAGGAAUGAGCUUAUGGGUGAAUGGAUGAAGGGAGGAGUAAAAUGUACCAAUUAAAAAGUAGAAUGAGAGCGACAAAAAUCUUAUAAAGCAGUGACAAGGUUGGAGAUAAAUAAUACGUCAUAGAACAGCAAAAUCUUAUAGGUGCUCCCUGAUAACCGAAGAAAUAAAGAGUAGAGAAUUAAAGAUCAAUUGAUUCUGGUUAGAAACCUUUCUAAUUACUAAUAGGAAAAAUCUUAACAUUUGUUGAUCUCUUCACCAAAUGGUAUUUUUCUUGGUAUAGAAUUAUUCUAAAUAGGGAUCAACGUAAAAUGAUAAAAAAUAAUUGCACAUUACAAUUCAUGUGGUAUAUAACUAGAAAAAGUAUAUGAGCAAAGCUCCAGGGAGGAAUCAUAGACAUAUUAUAGUGUAGUGGAAUAUUUAGUUCAUUUAAUUAAGAAUCAGGAAAUCUAGGUUCUAGUCCUGGUUGUGGAACUAUGACUGUGACAUUGUACCAGUCACACGUUCUUCCUAGAGUGUAGGCUUCUCACCUGAAAAAUGAGGGAGCUUACAAACUGUGUUUCUUGAAAGCCUGGGUCUUCUUUGGUACAAAUUUAAGCAGCUCCACUUUUUUUUUUUUUUUUUUUUUUAAGAUUCCAUCUAUUCACUUGACAGACAGAGAUCACAAGCAGGCGAGAGGCAGGCAGAGAGAGAGAGAGAGAGAGGAGGAAGCAGGCUCCCCGCAGAGCAGAGAGCCCGAUGCGGGGCUCGAUCCCAGGACCCUGGGAUCACCACCAGAGCUGAAGGCAGAGGCUUUAACCCACUGAGCCACCCAGGCGCCCCAAAGCAGCUCCACUUUUAAAAAAGAAAUUCCAGUGCAAUUAACAUAUAUGUUGCAAAUGGCAAGAUUUUACUGUUUUAUGUCUGAGUAAUAUUCCAUUGUAUGUAUGUACCAGAACUACUUUAUCCUUUCAUCCUUCAAGGGACACUUGGGCUGCUUCCAUUUCUUGGCUAUUAUAAAUAAUGCUGCUAUAAACAUAGGGGUACAUAUAUCUCUUUGAAUAAGUGUUUUCAUAUUCUUUGGGUAAAUAGCCAGUAGUGGAAUUACCAGAUCAUAUGAUAGUUCUAUUUCUAAUUUUCCAAGGAGCCUCCAUGCUUUUUCCCACAGUGGCUGCACCAGUUUGCAUUAGGGAGUAAGCAGCUUCAUGUUUCUACUUCACAGUUCGGGUCCCAGGCAAGAAGAUUUCAUUGCAAGAAAGGGCACUCUGGCUAACCUCCCCCUGACAACACUGGCCAUGUGGAUCUCUAGAUUUCACUGAGCUAAAUAUUCAGAUAAUAAAUUACUUAUAUGAGGCUCCUUUUGGGGUCUUAACUUCAGGAGGACUGCCACCAUCUCGAAGACGUGAUGUGACACUGGCACCAAGCGACAGGACAAGAAAGUGGUGAACCAGUUCACACUGGCUGGAUCCUGGCUCAGCCCCAGGGAGGAGCUGAGUCUUCCAAAAGGAUGGCAGCAUGACUUCUCUUUCUAGGAGAAUCCAGAAUAGCUCUCACUCUUGCUGCUCCAGGGACUGACCAGCUUAAGAUGCCAUCCAAUGAAAUCAGAACAUAGCUGCCCAUGUGGAUCAUAUCUACAAUUCUCCCAUAGAAACACAGAUAAGAUUCAUGUGAAGUAGUGGAAAAAUACAUGAUCCUGUAUGUCACGAAACCCCGUGAGGUCAACUGCAGAAGUGAGAGCAAAUGAAAUGUGACCAGAGGCCCUUUGGGAACUGUAAAAUGCUGGCUUUGUAUCAACGAGUGAUGGUAUUCUGUGAAAUGCACGCUUACCUCGUUGUUGCAGAAGCAGUAGAUCACGGCGACAAAGAAUCCCUUAAAAGAGAAGGAAAAAUAGAACUGAGAUUAUUUUGGGGUGCAUUACCUUGUUUAGGAAUCAAUAUUAAUAGACAGCCUGAAGAGGAGCAUUUCACUAUUGCAUUAGCAAGUCAAGGCUCGAUGAAAGACAAUUACUAGCACACUCAUAUUCAGUGCUUCACUAUAAGAAUAUUCUAGUUUAAGGGGGUACAGCUUCCACCUUGGGGUCCACUGGAGACAUUUCCUACUGACAGGAACAUCUGCCUCAUGGCAUUGGUGACUGUGUUUUCAUGGCAUUGGUGACUGUGAUGCUAGCUAUCAGGUUGGGAAACUGAUUGGCACUGGUUAUGUUGAUCUUCAAAACUCCCCCUCAUAAAGGCAAAACAAAUGUGCUUUCCCUCAAACUAUUGGAUAGGGGAAGGAAAGGUUGAAAGGACGGUGGGAAUAGAAACUCUGUCCUCAGUAUUCAGUGCUGUGCAGUGGGUCAGUCCCUGGACAAGUAUUUGUCCUCAGAAAGAUGUGUUCUCAAAGCUCAUCCUCCCUGUUUUCCUUCCUCGGUUUUGAGAUUCAAAAAUAAAAGGGGGAAACAGGUAAUGAGAAAAAGAGAAGCUGUAUCCCUUCCAGGUUAUAUAUAUUUGCAAAGGUCCUUCUGAUCACAGAUGGACCUUAGAAGUGCUUCUGCCUACAUCAACUAGCUGAGCAAACAGCUGAUCAAUACACCACCGGCUUCUUUACCUGGAAGUGAAUCAGAGAGUGCAUCAGGUAAUCGUAGAUCUUCCCAAGCAUCUUGUUGGAAGGCCUCCAGGGAAAGACGACAAACUGGAUUCCGAGCAGGGGCACCAGGAUCAGAGUGGCCCUCACGGCCUUCAGGUACAUGUGCGAUUCCGCCUCCUGGGUCUCCCUCAGCUUGCUCACGAGCACCCGGACGAUGUUGAGCAGGAAGAAGAAAUUGACCUGCAAAGAUGUGACAUUAUGAGCAAAUCAUCCAGGUCCGGCCGACUUAAGGAUGACUGCUUUCCUUGACUCUUGUUUAUCUCAGCCUGGGAGCAGAUGUCACAGGACAGGAGAGACGGCGUGUGAGUUGGUGUAAUAAGCUUGGCAUUACCGGGUGCAGCCGUAAAACCAAAGACCCUCUCCAGACCUGAGUUAACAUUUCCCUUUUUUUAAAAAAAUUUUUGUCCAAAUGAGAAAACAUUUUUUUUUCUGUAUAAGUAAAUAAAUUAAGUUUAAUUCCAAUGAGGGUAGUUUAUUCAUCACUUUGAUUUUUAUGAUUUUUCCGAAGGAGAGUCAUAACCAACACUUUCAGAUCUUGUUUUCUGGUCAUUUCAUUAUGGAGAUUUUCCCCUUAGGCAGGACUACUUCCCAGAAAGUGAAAUGAGGACCGAAGAAUUCAUCUCUGAAGUUUAUGUAGUAGAGAUAGCUCUCCCAGCCCUCUUUUCUUUCUAAUAACAUUUUUUAAAGAACAUGACUUCAUUCAGAUGUAAGGCACAUUAAGUAAAUUAGAGACUUUAAGUUUACAUUCAAGAAGUUUAGAGAAAUGUAGGUAUCUGGGGUAUCUGGGUAGCAACCCCUCCAAACAAGACAAGAGCAUUUUCAUUACCCUAGAAAGUUCUCUCCCGCUUCAACAACCCUUCCACCUCAAUCGACCACUAAUUUCUAUUACCACAGAAGUGGAGUGUUAUACAGUAUGUACUCUUUCAUGUCUGGCUUCUUUGGUUUGACAUAUUAUCUGUGAGAUUCAUUCACGUUGUGUAUAUUGGCAUUUCAUUCCUUUUUAUUGCUGAGUAGUAGUACUCCAUUACAUGGAUAAUACACAUAAUUUGUUUAUUCAUUCUAUUGUUGAUGGAAAUUGGCAAGGUUUCACAAUUUGACUAUUACAAAUUAACAUGCUAUGGUUAUUUGUAUACAAGUCUUUGUGUGGACAUACGUUUUUGUGUCUCUUGAGUAAGUACCCAGGAGUAGAACUGCCUGUUGAUAUGAUAAAUGUAUAUUUAACUUUAUAAGAAACUGGCAAACUGUCUUCCAAAGAAGUGGCUUCAUUUUACAUUCCCUCUAGCUCUAGCUGAGCAUUCCAGCUGUUCUCUACCCUUGCCAAGUCUUGGUAUGGUCACACUUUUUAAUAUUAGCCAUUGCAGUGGGUCUCAAACUACUUUUGGCUAUGGAGAUUAAUUUUGAAACCAAAGUUGUUUUUAAAAUUUAAUUGAUGAUUUAUUUUUAAAUGAUUAGUGUGGUUUUUCUACCCAGAAAAGAAAUAAGCAUAGUUGCCCCCAAAACUCAAGAAAGAAGAGAGACCUUUAGUAAUAAUUGAACUCUUAGGAGGUAUUGAAAUAUUCAAGAUCCACAUCCAUGGGUCUUUGUCAGCACAGUUGGGCUGGCAUGUCCAUCACUGCUCUGAAGUAGGGCAAAAGAAAUUGAGUGUGCACUGGAGAGACUGGGGCAGUGGGAAGUCAGGUUGGAUGAUGACUUGGUUUGAUCAGUUUCUAAUGGAUACUUCUUCAGUACAUGAGCAGAACAUGGUUUAUGACUCGGACUGUUUUCGUUUUUCUUUUUCCAAGGGAAAAGCACUGUUUUUGAGGCUAGUGGGAAAAAUAGUGUCUAAAUAUUAAAUGGGCUGGUUGUCAUGCUCACUACCAUAGAGUAAACCUUAGGUAAAAACAAAGAGCUUGGAAAUACAUGCAGAUGGUCAUGUUCUCCUCAACCCCAACUUUUUACUAGUCAUGUAAUUUGGGAAUACAUUUACUUGAAUCUUUGGGUCUAGUUUUCUUAAUGAGUACCAAUAGUCCUGAUGCAUCUACUUCGAAGGGCUGCUGUUAGGAAGAGCCUGGCAAUGUACAUGCAAGCAAUGUACAAUCCUGAAGUGUAUGCUCAGUGGUAGUUCCCACGAUGGCUCACGGACCAGAGAUGAAAUGAGAGAUGGUUUUGUUUGGCAGAGACCAGGGAAAAAGGUGCAGAGGGACUCUGAUUUUUUACUUUCUUUCUCAGUAACAUCUUCUUACCAUUCUUCAGUCCCUUGAUCUUUGCCUUUAAUGAGGAGCAGGUAGGUAUAGUGUUGUUUCAAGAAAACUGUAUUUUUGUGAUGGCGGGUAUAGAAAUGAACUUAAUGCAACCCUUCCCCAACAGUGUUAAAUAAAAAUUGUUUUUUUCAUUUAAAGAUCCUCAAAUCAAAUUGUUACAGAUGAUCUCAUUACAGAUCAUCAUUACCUUAGCCUAAUUUUGAAGUCCUGAGCCAUAUGGGACACAGGGCCAUCUUUACAGAAAUCUUCACAAAGAGAUAACACUUAAUAAUGGAUUUAAAAAGCAAUUCUCAACAACAACAACAAGAUAAAUAAAAGCAAUUCUCACCACCAGUGCGGCCAUGACGGGACCGUGGAUGAUAUAAAGCAGAUGGGUUUCUACACUCAGCCAGCAGCUGAAAACAAGGAGGGAGGGAAUACAUGAAUAUAAAUGCAUUUUACUUACAAAUACGUUCACUUAAAAACCACCCAAAUACGUACUUGUCAUUGAAGUACAGAGCCCGAGUAAUCGCAUGGAUAGUGGUUGGCACCAGCGGGAACCCUAAAAAUGUGAAAAAGCAGAAAUCACACCUGAUUUCUUGAUCUUAAGCUACAACAGUGAUUGCGUGGAAAAUGGUAGUUUAUCUUCAAAAAAGGUGGCAAAUUUUAAUAUCUCUGUCAAGAUACUUCCCUGAUGUUUUUACACAAACUAUUUUUGGUCAAUCCCGAUAAUUAUUCUCUUGGUUAGAACAUCACGUGCUUUCAGAGUUUUGUGAAGAGCAUCCAGGUAAUUAAAAGUCUUUAACAAAUAUUCCAGGAUGGUAGGUACCUUGUUACUCUCACUGUGACCAUUACACCAUCGUUAUGUCUGUGGUGAUGACUGUUAGUUGAGUCCACAAAGCUCUUCACUGCAUGUGAACUGGACUCUUUAAUAGACAGGAGUUAGGUCACCAUGGAGGGCAAUGACCUGGGAUAGCUUACGGAGACAAUAGCCUGAUUGCUCUGAAAUCCUUGUUGAUGUUCAUAAUAGUUCUUGUAGGCUUUUCUUUUUCCUGUCUGUUUAUAUCACAUGUAUCGAUUCCAUUGUCUUUCCAUUAGAAUAUUUCAGGGCACGACUGCCUUCCCUGCCCUCUGUAAGUUCUGCCUGUGGAACCUCUAUGAAGGUAACUUGGAGUCUACCUCCCUCACUGAACUCUAAGUUCUAGUAAAAAGCAACUUUGAAUUUAUAAACAGAAUGAUAGGGGUCAUUAUCGGCAAUGCAUUCUGUCAGGGUACCUCUUUUUAAAAUCAAUUUUCAUUCUAUAAGUGUCAUCUAGAAUACAGUUGUGGUUCUUGCAAAAUAGUUUUUUCCCCCCCUCAGAUGUACCCCAGCCCAACAGAAUAUUGCUUGAUUUGGUUGAGACAUUUGUAGAAAGAGCUUUUAGAAUUAUCAUCAGAUUGAGAAAUGUAUCUCAGAAGUGAGUUAGACCUCCACAUUUUUAUUUUCUGUGAAUUCUAUGCAAAAUGACAUUGCCUCAGAAUAUUGAGUUUUCACCUGAGAACAACCUCAGCUUCUUAACCCGUGAAGCAUAUAAUUCAAUAGGGCCAUUGAUUAAAUGCUUGGCCUGAGAGAAUUUUGAGUUAGACUCUUUACACAAAACAUAAUUGUGUUUUAUUCACGGCAGUUCUAACAUAUCAUUUCCCCACUUGGGUUUUAGAAACAGAAAUUCAUUUUCUCGAUAUAUUCUGAAACAUACGUUUUAGAAUUAGCAGAAGAAGCAUAUGGAGUUCUCCCUCCCACCUCAUCAUUUUGUAGAGAGCAGGAUGUGUUCCUUAAUGUACAGAGGAGUGCGGACUCCAACUCUGCUCAUUCCUAGUGCUCUUUGCCUUGUUUGAGGCAGUUUGUUUCCCCUUCCUCUUCCUCUUAUCCCCCAGACCCCAAGAACCCUAAAGGCCCUUCCUGCCACCGAAGAUGUAAAAAUAAUCCCUUCUCCCUAGGAAUUUUUUUUUUUAAGGGGGACUAGAUAAAUUCUGUGUGUUCAUUGUAAGAGUCCACAGAGGGAAUUUCCUUCUUUAAUUUAUAAGAAGAGGAGAAAGAGCAAGGCGAAGAAUCAAUCAGGAGAGGGCUGUAAAACAAAUAAUUUAUUUCUGAGAACUAAACCUCACUAUUUGAAGUUGCUUCGAUUUGAGAGAAAUCAACUAGUAAGUGGCCCUGUGCAGAUCUGUAAGGGAGUAACUACCAAAAAAAAAAAAAAAAAAAAAAAGAGAAAAAAAAAGAAAAGCAUUCUUUCACUUUCUAUUGGGGAGAAUUACAUCACUGGAUACUUUCCUCCAAGAGGGUGAUGUUCCUUAUGUCUUUUAUAAUUUUUAGGAUCUGUUCCAGAUCCUGGAGUGGGUAAUACUAUUCACAGCUGACAAGAAUGGAUGGGACAUACGUCACCUGUAAACAAAGUCACAUCUUCGGGCACAGCUUUCUUGCACCAAAUCUUCGGCUGUCCCACUCUCACCUCCUUGCAAAGCACAGGUUUUACCUUAUUUCAUGGCACCAUAACAUUUAGGAACUAUCAUACUUUUUAGGUGUGAAAAUAAUUUCAAAAGGACAAUAAAAAUAUUACCCAGUAGAAAUUUCUUCCUCUCUGCUCCACUAGAAAUUCUUUAAAGAUUCUGUGACACUAUUUUUCUUGCGGCAUUAUUUCACUUGUGCCUUUAGCUGUUUUCCUCCCACCCAAAGACAAUGCUUGCCCAAAUUCUAGGACAGAGCUAUUGCUUCAAAAGACAUCAUCACGGUUGUCUCUCAAUUUUGUUCUCAAACACGGUAAAGGGUUUGGUGGAAUUUUGGAGCAUGUGCACGCAUGCGCAUGUGUGCAAGGGUAGAGUAAGAUAGAUUGAGGUCUGACCUGCUAAAAAUAAUUACAUUUUAGAACUAUAUUGGUUGACUAUUUGUCUUUCCAAACAUCGGUCUAGGGGGAAGUGCAAAUUCUCAUUCUUUUAAAUUUAUGAUUCCAUGCUUACCUUACUGAGUGAGUGUAAUGUUCCUUAGGAUCCCACUUCAAUCAUUCUGAUAAAGUUUUAAGUAUUUUCUGAUUAAGGAAGGUUCAGGGAUCCCAUAAAUAUUUUUACUUAUUUUUAUUACCUUCUUUUUGAUACAGCUGAACAGCUUGUUCCUUUUUCGCUUUGAAUUGUUUAUGCAUGUUAAGCAGAUGUCUUCAUCGAGCUGUCUAUGAUGAUGUCAAAAGUUUCAUAACUAAUUCACAAUGCAUCAGAAUGGAAAGAGUAAUUAUAAAUUGUUCCUUCCAGGGUGCCCUCAUCUCUGUUGAAUGUCACAGGCAAGAAUAAAUUUAUAGCCUUUUUCCUCCAUGGAAAAAUUUCUGAGUAUGGUAGAUAGAUGUUUUUGAAGAGUCAAAACCAGUAUAAGAAAUACGCCAUAGAUUUUAUUUUAAAGGAAAAAAGUAAAAUACAUCACACAGAAAUGGUGUGUGUGUGUGUGUGUGUGUGUGUGUGGCAGGCCAGGGGUGGGAUGUUAUUUUCAGGUCUUCAGUUGGAAGGCAUCUGACCAGCAACAAUCAUUACUAUUGUAAUGAUCAGAAUUACUAUUGGGGGGCAUUGAACUGUAUUCAGUUGAUUCCUAGUAUGAUUAGCUUUGGAGGACAAGAAAUCUCUGACAAGGUACAUAUGAGGCUGAGAAGGUCAGUUAAAGGUAAGAUCAGCCUCUUUGUGGAAGGUUGCGACUAAAAGAAAAAAAUAAUGAAAGGCCAUUUUGUUCUUUGUAUUCUAUGUAUUUUGAGGUCAAGGAAGAGCAAGAGAACCUAGCACUGGACGUGAGACUGGCAGGACAGUCACAAGCCUGCUUUCUAAUCUCGCUGGAUGGUUAAGGCGUUAGGUUGGAAGAUUAAAGUCGUCAAACAGCAACCAUACUCCCAAGAAACCUAGAGUCUUGAAGGCCCAGAGAAGUGCUGCCAAAGGUAAGCUUUCUAUACUGGAAAUCUUUGGCAAGGGCCAA